This 72-nucleotide transfer RNA is filed under the name Megacopta caliginosa. RNAcentral describes it as "tRNA-Gln". It matches the Rfam family "tRNA". From Rfam's summary of the family: Transfer RNA (tRNA) molecules are approximately 80 nucleotides in length. The record is from RNAcentral. Lineage: Eukaryota; Metazoa; Arthropoda; Insecta; Hemiptera; Plataspidae.
UACAUAAUGGUGUAAUGUGAUGCACUUAAAGUUUUGAUCUUUAAAGUUUUGGUUUGAUUCCAUUUUAUGUAA